Molecule: ribosomal RNA, 253 nt
Filed under: uncultured bacterium
Lineage: Bacteria
Description: partial 16S ribosomal RNA
Rfam family: Bacterial small subunit ribosomal RNA
Source: RNAcentral
UACGUAGGGUGCAAGCGUUGUCCGGAAUUAUUGGGCGUAAAGAGCUCGUAGGCGGGUUGUUGCGUCGGCUGUGAAAUCCCGAGGCUCAACCUCGGGUCUGCAGUCGAUACGAGCAAACUAGAGUGUUGCAGGGGAGACUGGAAUUCCUGGUGUAGCGGUGAAAUGCGCAGAUAUCAGGAGGAAUACCCAUAGCGAAGGCAGCUCGCUGGGACGGUACUGACGCUAAGGCGCGAAAGCGUGGGGAGCGAACAGG